Peromyscus maniculatus bairdii (prairie deer mouse) is the source of this 615-nucleotide long non-coding RNA. RefSeq lists it as uncharacterized. NCBI's taxonomy places the organism in Eukaryota, Metazoa, Chordata, Mammalia, Rodentia, Cricetidae. The record is from RefSeq and is a predicted model, not a curated record.
UAGGAUGGCUGGCCCUGCCCCUCCUUGAACACUGCAGCAGGAGAGCUGGCCCCUAUGGCAUGUACCUAGAAGGGCUGGCUCCACAUCUUGCCUAAGGGAGGCGGUACCUGUGGCCCUGGACUGAUCAGCUACCACCAAACCUACGACUGGACCACACCUACAUCUGCCUGUAUGUUGGAAUAUGAAGACAAAAAGAAGACUGAAAUGAAUCAGUUUUUAAGAAGAACACCACUGAGACAAGUUUUGCUUCUUUCUUGGGGAUGUACAGACCUCAGGCGAAAGUUGGCUCUAGAUAGAAGAGCAGUGAGAAGGUAUACAAAGGUUGGAAUGCACAGUUGCAGGUGUGGGUCUCACAAUCACAGAACAAGAGUCUGUUACCACAAGGAAUGAACACAGAACAAAAUAAAACAACACAGAAUAAAGAGGAAAAUACUAACUUAUUUCAGGUGCUUCGAUGUAUUGAAAGGUGGAGAUCUUCAUAAACAUGGAAACACAGUGUUAGAAUGCAUUAGUUCUUGCAAAACAAUAAAUUGAUAUAUUAAGUUCUACUCAUUCAAAUCAACAUAUGACUUUAAGAAAAUGGAAAAAAUAUACAUUAAAAUCAGAUCACAAAAU